RNAcentral lists this unclassified non-coding RNA (5756 nucleotides) under Sipha flava (yellow sugarcane aphid). RNAcentral's name for it is "myogenesis-regulating glycosidase, transcript variant X1". Lineage: Eukaryota; Metazoa; Arthropoda; Insecta; Hemiptera; Aphididae. The record is from RNAcentral.
AACAAUAAAAAUCGUUCGCAUCGUCCUUCACGGGUCUGCCGGUGUAAGCGUGUGAUAUUUACCUGCGUACAUUUAUUUUUAUUUCAUUGGAAACAGCACGGUGUCGACCGUGUUAGAGCCAUAACGUCGUGUGAAUAUCGUCGAGUCAAUUCAUUGCGUACUCCAGGCACAGACGUCGGCGGACGUUGGUGUGAUACAUUCGCGUACGACGUGACCCGUCGGCGAUUCGGGCGAAAACGAUCGGCUUGAAGUUAAGUGUGUACCGUUCGGGUGGGAGAGGGUGUGCCAUUCGUGAUAGAGGGAGAAAAAUGCAAUUCGCUGUCAAAACUUUGAAGGGUUCAAGCAGCAGGCGUCUAGUGAGAAAGGAGCGCGGUGCGUGUGACGAUGACGGGAGAACGCAGGACAGCGACCGCGGCAAUUGCCGGCCACGGACGUUGAAACUCACUCCAGAAAGAGUUAGACUCAAUGGAUAUGAUUCCAGUGAAACUUUCAGCGACAUAUUGGAGGACGUGCCUAUCAAUCAUCGUAUGCAUCAUGGGACUCAGCUAAGAUCCGUAUCACCAACGAUUCAUAUGACUAGACGGUCUUCGACAGCAUCACAGUCAGAUUCAGAUCAAUAUGGGAUGUUAGACGAUACAGAUUUGUCGGUGAAUUCGCUCACGAGUGUUAACUCCAUAUCGAGUUUGUUGCGAGAGAAACUUUUGUUGAAUAUUCAAAAAAUUUCGAAAAACAAAUCAGUACAAGCCGACUACAAGCUCAGAGUUUUUAUAACAUGUUUAUUCGUCGUGAUAGUGUGUAUUUUGAAGUUCGCACACGUCUACUACGACCGUCACGUGUUGCAGAAAGCAUAUUUCAAGUACACGCGGUUCAACAAGGAAGACCGUUUCUUGCGAUUAUAUGGUGUCGACGGGCACGAGAUAGCGUUCGGCUACCUCGGCGUGGACCUGGCGGAGAGGGAGAAGGCGUUCGAUUGCUUGGCGGCGGGACACCGUAAGCCGUCCGACGUGCAGUGCUUCGAAUGGAUGCAAAAAGCCAGACUGUAUCUGUCCCACGAGGAGAGACCCGAAGGCUUGAACUGCUACACGGUCGAAUGGUCUAGCCUGACGGACAAAUACAAUCCCGUGGACUGUUACGAAGACGGGGAACAAUACGGCCAUUGGUACGGAGGCGGCAGAACGUUGGGCAUGGCGUGGCCCGUCCAGUUGGGCACAGUGGAAAUGUCUCCGUUCGUCACUGGCCACGUUGGCAGACACCGGUGGGGCAGCGUGCUGGGCAGGUACUUCAUCAAUUCCAAAGGAGUGGCGAUCACCGUGCACCCGAACACGCCACUGCACGUGUCCAUAAACGCUGGCCGAGACAACCGACUGUGCUUAAAGGCCAGCCACGAUGAGUUCGCUUACCGCCGCACUACGGUCGGACUGCCCGUCCUCAACUACACCGUAUGCACGGCCCGGAACAUGAAGACGCUGCACGCGGCGCUCUCCGAGAAAAUGCUGUGGGACGGUCUGAAGGCCUCCGACACCGAAAUCAUAAACUCGCUGCUCACUGAGCCCGUCUGGCAGCUGGCCCCGUCCAGAAGGGAACUGCUCAACGAAUCUACAAUGGUCAACUACACCGAGGACAUCAUCGCUUUGGGUUUCAUAAAACAAGGUCACGUGUUGCUCAACGAAUUUUGGCAGGCAGAAAUGGGUGAUUUUUCGUUGGAUCAAAAAAGGUUUCCGACAAUGAAAGAGACGAUCAACAUCAUCCACCGAAGAGGAUUCCGCAUAGUGGUUACCAUACAGCCGUUCAUCAGCACCGAGUCGAGCAAUUUCGCCAACGCCGUAAGAGAAGGCAUCCUCGUCAGACAAUUCGGGAGCGAACACAACGUGCCGGCGCUGACCAGAUACAAGACCGUGCAAAGCGCCGGAAUGUUAGAUAUCACCAACAAAAACUGCGGCCCUUGGUUACAACGGCAGCUGAAAGAUCUAGUGCAAAAGUAUCAAUUUGACGCUUUCUAUUUAGACAUGGGCUCGGCUUACGAUCUGCCCCGUCACUAUAUGUUUGCCGAGAACUUAACCAACCCGGACUACUAUAAAUCGCUCUUCACCCAGACCGUGUCGGAUAGCGUGAACGUGUUCGGCGUUUCUUCGGCAAUCAGCCGGCCGCCGGCUCCGAUUUUCGUGUCGUUACUUUCGUUGGCCUCGACGUGGGAUUCACUUCAAGUGAUCAUACCGACCAUGCUUACGUACGGCAUAGUCGGUUAUCCGUUCUUGCUUCCGGGCCCUGUAGGCGGAGACUUUCAGGUCGGAAACGUUUCCUUGCACGCUUUGAUUCCACCGGACAACCCGUCGUCGGAACUCUUGGAAUCCCAGUCGCUGAAAGAGUGCCGGCAACGCGGUCAACAUUAUAACGAAAGUCGGGAACUGGUCAUGCGAUGGAUGCAACUGGCCACGUUCCUGCCGGUGAUCAGGUACGCAAGACUGCCGAGUGAUUGUGACCCGCAAGUGCUACAGUUGACGAAGAACCUGACGUCGCUCAGACAGCAAAUAAUAAACCCGUUGCUGAAGAGAUACGUGCAAGAAGCAUUGGAAACCGCCGUGCCGCUAAUACGGCCGCUGUGGAUGUUGGACCCUUCAGACACGACGUGUUACAUCGUGAAAGACGAAUUUUCAGUGGGCGAAGAAGUCAUCGUGGCUCCCAUACUGCGUCCUGGGGCUACGGAACGUGAGGUUUAUCUGCCCGCCGGGGUGUGGAAGGAUGGCAUCGAAGGCAGCCUGAGAAAAGGGUCCCGUUGGAUACACAACUACAAAAUCCCACUGGAUAAAAUCGCGUACUUCGUGAAAAUGCCGAACAACACUAGAUUUUAAUUACAGGCACACGUCGUUAUAAAUAUAUUGUGUAUAGUGCAUGUCGAUGUGUUCAAUUUGAAUACGCGCCAAGAACACUGUGUGCAGCGCAUAAUAUUGAUAUUAUAAUCGGUCGACUGACAUCACUUAUAUAUUCGCAGUACAGUGACUGCGUAAGAAUAAUUACGCUUUCGAGUAUUUAUCAUAAUGUUGUGUGAGAUUAAUUAAUUAUAUAAAAAUUAUGAAAUCUUAAACUUUAAUAAAGCCAAAAUGUCGACUGUCUAUGUAAACUACUUAAAAAAUAGACUUAAAGUAAAUUAACUACAUUGCGAUAAUUUACAACCGUUUUUUAACGAACGGCAGCGUUCUUGAUAAUUCCACGUAGUAUCGCGAUAUUUAUUAAUGACGUAUAUAUAUAUUGGUUGGGUGGUAGAAAACAAGAAAGGCGUGUAUCCUGUAAAAUAAAAAAAGGUUAUUUUAAUAAUUGAAAAAAAAUUAUUUAAUUAAUGAGAAAAAUAUUCCUGAAAAAAAACUAUUUUUCAACGUUAAAAUAAUUUAAACAGAAACACCGUUUUAACUGCGCAUGCGGAAUAGUUAAACAUCGAACACUGGUAAUUGUAUAGGAAUAAAUUGGUAUUACCGUAAAUAAUUAAAUAAAAUGGGUUAUAUAUUAUGUUAUUACGUCGUCUUAUAUCAUAUAGUGAAUAAAUUACGAAGUAUUGUGAAAGGAUUAAAACUAUAUACUUUUAUUAUUCAAUCAUAUAUUAGUACAUUUACGAGUUGUGCAAAUAAUACGUUUUUUUUUAUUUAUAAAUGUUCUCAAUAAUAAUUAAAAUCGUUUACUCGAGUGAUAAGAACUCAGAAACAAAUUUUGAGUUUUUGUGCCAACGUUAAACUGAAACGAGACGUUAUACAUUUAUUUAUUUUGGUCGUAAUUCAUUAAAAUAAAAAAAAAUGGAUAGGUAAAACUUUUAAAAUAAAAACGAAGUUUGACACUCUGUACAGGAAAAUUCGAAUUCUUUUUCAAUUUGUCAUUAAGAUAAAACGUUUUAAAUCAACUUUUUCAUAUUUAAUUAAAAACAAUCUACAUUAUGAUUAAUUAGUUACAAAUAUUAUCAAUUUGUUUGUGAAUUUUACUAUAUUCUUAUAUUUAUAAUAAAUUACUUUUUGUGGAGCAAAUAGUUUUUCCGAAAUAUUUGAAAUGUGUACACUAUAAGGAUGGUGCAUAAUUGUUGCGUCUGAGCACGUAUAAUAUUUGUGUAGAAAUAUUUGAUAGAAUUAAUUAAUAAAAUUAUUCUUUUGGCGUUGAUAAUUUUUUAGAGUAAUAAUUUAUUCCAAAUGGGACAGUUAACGAAAAUCUCAAAGUUUUUAUAAAGUUUAAUUAAUAUUGUAUUUUUGUCUCUUUCAGUUAUCAGCGUUCUUCCGUUUUAAAUAAAAACUUUUCUGACUAUUUGUUUAAUACACACCCUGUGCAUAAAUUAACAGUUUCGGAUCAUUUUAAAAUGAUAUAAUGCGGUCCGUAAAUAGAGAACGUAGGUAUACUAUAUUACUGUAUUUAUGGUAUCCGCAGAACGGCAUACAACUCAAUUAUUUUCACAUUUCGUGUUAUUAUAUAGCAAUAAUUCACUCGGCAAUAAAAAUUUGCUCGCGUUCAAGCAUAAAAAUCAUCCGACAAACAUGCGUGUACGUGCUACGAUUUCGUCAUUCCAGUCGUUCGCAUUCGUUCGGCCAACUUUUUAAAUUAACUAAACUAAAUAAAAUUAAGUCAAUACAAAAACUUUUGAAUUUAUGGAGUAGGUAAAUGUAAAGGAAUGAUAAAUAUGACUUAUUAAUUUUAAAGUUAAUUUAUUUUUUUUAAUUAGUAUCUUGAUAAAAAAUGAUUGAUAAAAAUGUCCUUUCACUUUUUAAGGAAUAAAAAACCAUUCUGUUAUACGUCCAACUUAUAAUGAUGUGAUCUAUAGCAACUGUAUACGUAUUCAUUUUUACUUCUACUUAAAAUUUCAUCAAAUAUUCCAAUCAUGAUAUUAAUGUUCAAAUUAAAUUUCUUUAAUUGGGUGGAACUAAGUACAAUACAUUGGUAAUUUAAGUUAAGGUCAGGGUAGUUAUCAAGUUCAACGGUUUGUGAAAAUAUGAAAAUUGUAAAAAUAAUUUUAAUUUUUAACUAGUGCUCACUUUUGAAUUUUAUCCGUUCAAUAGAUACGUACAUAGCUUACGAUCUCGAUUUAUGCGUCUCGCUUUUUUUACCGUCGUUGGACAAUUUUUUUUAGAAAUACAAAAUAGUAAAAGACGUAAAAAAACAAUAAUGCAAAAAAAAAAAAAUUAUGAACGAAUGCUAGCAUUCAUUGUAUAUGAACUCGAAUCGUUAAACCUAUUUCAUGUUUACACAGCUGUUAUUCGGUAGAAAGAGCAAUAAACAAUAACUACGGUUACGAAAACUGCUGCAGUAACACCAAAAUGAUGGAACACGAAACAAUCGUCAAAGUGCUCAGUUUUAUCGUAUUGUGUUUCGUCGUUUCUUUAAUCGUCUUACCGCGCCUGAACCCUUAUUAGUUGAAAUUUAACGUAGAAAAAACCAGCGUUGUCGAAGACACGAGAUAUUUUUUAAACACAUCUACUAACUAAAGGCUUAUUUUAUUAUGGAGUUGAACGAGACAGAUUUUUUCCGGCAGCAAAGAUCUAAAAGUCCAAGAAAACGAUGGAGAAGUACUUGAUGAUGUGAGCAACGCGACGAAACGCCGCCUGCGAUUUUACUUGCACGCUAAAUCUUUUCGAGUCUAUACACUGCAACAACAAGCAAAUAAAUCGGAACUCACCGCAGGGUGGUGCCGUAACAUUCGGCACAUUAUAUUGUUGAGCUAGAAAUGUAAACAAUAACGAUUAUUGGCGGAAAAAUAAAAACGAUGAGCACUGUGCGGUGCAUAAAACGCA